Non-coding RNA from Podarcis lilfordi (Lilford's wall lizard), 85 nucleotides. NCBI's taxonomy places the organism in Eukaryota, Metazoa, Chordata, Lepidosauria, Squamata, Lacertidae. The record is from the annotation of a GenBank genome assembly.
CACUUAAAUGCAUAGGGAUAGCUCAGUUGGUAGAGCACAAGACUCUUAAUUGCAGGCUCGUGGGUUCAAGCCCCAUGUUGGGUGA